UACCUUAUGUUGCCUCGGCGGAUCAGCCCGCGCCCCGUAAAAAGGGACGGCCCGCCGCAGGAACCCUAAACUCUGUUUUUAGUGGAACUUCUGAGUAUAAAAAACAAAUAAAUCAAAACUUUCAACAACGGAUCUCUUGGUUCUGGCAUCGAUGAAGAACGCAGCAAAAUGCGAUAAGUAAUGUGAAUUGCAGAAUUCAGUGAAUCAUCGAAUCUUUGAACGCACAUUGCGCCCGCCAGUAUUCUGGCGGGCAUGCCUGUUCGAGCGUCAUUUCAACCCUCAAGCCCAGCUUGGUGUUGGGAGCUGCAGUCCUGCUGCACUCCCCAAAUACAUUGGCGGUCACGUCGAGCUUCCAUAGCGUAGUAAUUUACACAUCGUUACUGGUAAUCGUCGCGGCCACGCCGUUAAACCCCAACUUCUGAAUGUUGACCUCGGAUCAGGUAGGAAUACCCGCUGAACUUAAGCAUAUC
This 470-nucleotide ribosomal RNA is filed under the name Fusarium graminearum. RNAcentral's name for it is "eukaryotic LSU rRNA". The stretch from base 117 to 270 matches the Rfam family "5.8S ribosomal RNA". The record is from RNAcentral. Lineage: Eukaryota; Fungi; Ascomycota; Sordariomycetes; Hypocreales; Nectriaceae.